AGUGAACGCUGGCGGUAGGCCUAACACAUGCAAGUCGAACGGCAGCACAGUAAGAGCUUGCUCUUACGGGUGGCGAGUGGCGGACGGGUGAGGAAUACAUCGGAAUCUACUUUUUCGUGGGGGAUAACGUAGGGAAACUUACGCUAAUACCGCAUACGACCUACGGGUGAAAGCAGGGGAUCUUCGGACCUUGCGCGAUUGAAUGAGCCGAUGUCGGAUUAGCUAGUUGGCGGGAUAAAGGCCCACCAAGGCGACGAUCCGUAGCUGGUCUGAGAGGAUGAUCAGCCACACUGGAACUGAGACACGGUCCAGACUCCUACGGGAGGCAGCAGUGGGGAAUAUUGGACAAUGGGCGCAAGCCUGAUCCAGCCAUACCGCGUGGGUGAAGAAGGCCUUCGGGUUGUAAAGCCCUUUUGUUGGGAAAGAAAAGCAGCAGGUUAAUACCCCGCUGUUCUGACGGUACCCAAAGAAUAAGCACCGGCUAACUUCGUG
RNAcentral lists this ribosomal RNA (492 nucleotides) under uncultured bacterium. RNAcentral describes it as "partial 16S ribosomal RNA". It matches the Rfam family "Bacterial small subunit ribosomal RNA", at positions 29 to 507 of the family's 1533-position model. The record is from RNAcentral.